Long non-coding RNA from Pleuronectes platessa (European plaice), 1562 nucleotides. RefSeq lists it as uncharacterized. The record is from RefSeq and is a predicted model, not a curated record. The transcript has 4 exons. Lineage: Eukaryota; Metazoa; Chordata; Actinopteri; Pleuronectiformes; Pleuronectidae.
CGAGCGGACAUGACGUGUGGCUGUCGUAAAAACCCUAUUUGUAAACAACCAGUCCUUUAACUCAGCGCUACGUCAUAAACACGGAGCGCUUGGAAGACCACGAUGUCAUCUUCCUUCUGUCAGGAGGAUCCAAGUGAAGCUACAGGAGUUUCAUUAACGUCAACAACUUGGACCGAACAGUUUGUUUUGCUUGAUGAAGAGCAGGAAGGGCAGCCUGGAGAGAAAGAGAAGCCGGGUUGAGCCCACUACCAUCAUCCAUGUACCACAAGGAAGAUGAGGGAGAGAAAUGAUCCUACCAUUAAAGAGGUACUUUUAAGUUACAUACCAGAAACACCAUUUUAUAUAAUGUGCUAAAUAUACAUUUUUAUUACAUCCCCAAAGUACGCUUGCUGAAAUACAAGUUAAUAUCACACUGAAAGAAUUUUGAUCAAUCAUGCUUCCCUGCUGUGAUUGUUUAACUGGGAAAACAACUUUUUCCACAGGAAGGCAAGUAAAUUUAAGGAAUACAUGUGCAAAGUUUUCCUCUGUUAUGUAUAAUGAUGACCCCAUCAAACAUAAUGUUAGCAAUAUUUACACCUUUUAAUUUAUACUGAUUAUUUCUGUCUACAUGUGUGAAUUUGCCUUCAUUAGUUUCAGAAAAGAGCGAUACUGUAUCGGUCAGUGGGCGGCAGCACGAGACUCCGCAAACUAGUCUGUAAGCAAAGUAGACGAAGGCAUCGAGGUUGCGGCCUGCCAUCAUUGUUAUUUUUGCUUAAGGGACUGAAUAUGUUUCAUGCAGGAAUAUUAGCAUUUCCCUUAUAUCUACCAAAACUGCUUGUUUCACAGACUGCAGUUUUGUUUUGAUCCGAUGUGGUGUGCAAAUACAACCGUAUCUGCAAUGGGUUGUGGGGCAUUAACAUUUGUAACUCUAAUUUUGUUUUGACCGACUGUGAAAAGAACGUUGAGAACAUCACCACUCUACAGGAAGACACAGUCCAGUAAUGGGUGUCAGAAUUUCAGUAGUGAACGACAGGAAGGACUGAUGCAUUUACUGAGACGGGACGUGAGGGCCUACUCUGCGUGCUCAGAGUUCAAGCCCAGCAGGCUGCAGCGGUCCUGACAUAUUCCGGAACAGCAGCACAGUCUUUGGAUGACUCCUCUGAAGAUGAAAACAUGGCGAGUUCUUCUCAAGAGAAGCAGUACAGGUGUGCCUCAGCUCCACGGUCCCUCCUGCAGCCUCCGCUCCUGAUGCUAACCUCAUGUCUCCAUCACACCAAGCAGCAGACCUGGAUUGACAGACCUUUCUCCAGAGCUGCCCCCUCCCUCUGAAACCCCCCUCUCCAAAACACUAUUUGUGUAGUUUUUAAAGUAUUUUUUGCAUGAGAAUUGUUGAUCAUAACAUUUCCAGCAGAUGCCUUAAUGUAAUGUUUGUGCACAAUAAAUGACAUUGAUCAUAACAUAUUGGUAUUUCCUUGCACUUCUACACCAUGAUAUUGUCAGAUAAGAUGCUGAUUACAUUAAAGCAGUGAAUGCUCUGCUUUAAGCAACAUAAACACACAAUGAUCCAAUGGAUCUGAAGUAGA